CCGUUCCCUUCAGGACCACCAAUAAUCCCGCCACCCCCUCCCAUCUCUCCCGACUGUCUGGAUGACACUGAUGCCCUGGGCAGUAUGCUAAUCUCUUGGUACAUGAGUGGCUACCACACUGGCUACUAUAUGGUAAGGACUCCCUGGGAACUGCCAGACAUGCUCUUUGCAGUUGUACAACUUUUGGUGAUGAGUCUUGCACCUAGAGCCAGCUCCUACAUAACUAAAAUGUGGUUUGUUCUAUAGUGCUUAAAAACGUUAAGUCAGUUUUAAGACCACUUUAACAUUUAAAAAUGGACAAUACUUCUUUCAUCAUUCCUCCUGAGUGUGAUUGCAACUCAUUUCAAAUGUCUGCUUUUGUUAUCUUGUCUGGUCUACAGAGUUCCAGGAUAGCCAGAGCUAUACAGAGAAACCCUGUCUCAAAAAAAAACAAAAAAAAAAAAACAAACAAAAAAAGGUUACAUUGUAUUAGAGUUUCUUGAAUCUGGAGUGAUCAAAUUCUAUAAAAUAUAUCUUGUCUUUUUGGUAGUUUUUACAAUGUACUCUAGCAUAUAUAAGUAACAGAAUCUCUAAAACUUUUUCUUUCCUCAGUUUACACUUAUUUAUUUGGGGUGGGUACUGUAUACUUAAUGGAAGUAAAAGGACAACGUAUGGGAGUGGGUUCUCUUCCUUUGCGUGGGUCCUGGGAGUUGAACUCAGGCCGCCAGUCCUGCCCACAAGUACCUUUUAUCUGCUGAGCCGUCUUGUGGACCCAGUAACAGGAUAUCUACAAAAAUAUGUGAUAGUGGGGGAAGAAUGUAUUCCUGUGAUUAGACUAUCUUGGUAAAUACAUUGUCUCUGGUCGACUGAGUCAUUACAGAUCUUUACUGUGAUUUUACUUUCUAAAUGUUUAUAUAGAAAAGCAACGGAAAACAAUGUACGAUUUGCGUUAAGAUUUGCUUCAUUUGUAGUUACGUAUAUGUGUACAUGUCUGUGUGUGGGCUAGUACAUAUGAUGCAGAUGCCGUUAACUGCUGAGCCAUCUCUCCAGUUCUUACUUCUCUUACAUUGGUUUUGAAUACUCUUUCUUUCAGNGACGGAAGGGAUUUUUCCUUAAGAAACUAACUUGGAAAUAUUCCUUUAAAGCCCGGGUCUAAAAUUCAACGGCCC
Molecule: small RNA, 1148 nt
Filed under: Mus musculus (house mouse)
Lineage: Eukaryota; Metazoa; Chordata; Mammalia; Rodentia; Muridae
Source: RNAcentral